UCCCUCCCCCAACAAACAUGCGACAGACCAGCAGCACAACAAACACACUUUCUGGACUCUCUACUGGAAAUAUGAGCUCAUAAAUACCUUUCCUGGAGCUGUGAAUCCGCCUGGAUGUGGAGGAGCGUCAGCUGUUGAGCGCAGGUCAAAGAUCUGCAGCAAAAACACAACAGACACACGUGUGUAUCUUCACUGCAGCAGUGGAGAGAGAGAGAGAGAGAGAGAGCAAUGAGUGAACACAAACACUACAACAACAUCACUACAAACUAAACCAACGAAACAAAGUCCCUUACAGGAUCAGUGAAGUGUUGUGGACUGUAAGCCUGUUGAACAGAAGCAGAGACGCGUGAACAGACGCUGACUGUACUGAUGAUGAUCAUCUGCUGCUGCACAGGCUGUAAAGUAUAACCCCUGCUGGGCAUGUCUCCGGAAGCUCCAGGGGGAGACCGAACUGGUAUCCCCCCUUCUUCAGACGCGCCUCACACUCACUCACAUCGCAGAGUUCUGGCUGGGAUCAAACCAGCAACCCCUGAAGCCAUGGGGCAGCGCUCUUACCACAGAGCCACAGAUCUCCUGACUGAACACUUGCUGGAACUGAAGUUAGACUGCUGACCUGUGUGUGAGCUGUUUUAAUAAAACAAAAUACGAGUCAGA
This is a long non-coding RNA of Danio aesculapii, 654 nucleotides long. RefSeq lists it as uncharacterized. NCBI's taxonomy places the organism in Eukaryota, Metazoa, Chordata, Actinopteri, Cypriniformes, Danionidae. The transcript has 3 exons. The record is from RefSeq and is a predicted model, not a curated record.